This 4809-nucleotide long non-coding RNA is filed under the name Homo sapiens (human). Its description in RNAcentral is "HSALNT0337511". The record is from RNAcentral. Lineage: Eukaryota; Metazoa; Chordata; Mammalia; Primates; Hominidae.
AGUUUGUUUCUUAGCCCUCCUCCAUGGCUGUGUGUGGGGAAAGGUGCAUUUCCUGGACCUAAAGAAGCUGGCAGUCAGAACCUUGCCAUGGGCUGCGCAGAGUAACUCCAUGGGGUUGACUGGAGAAGGCACUGAGUUUUCUUCAAUUAGUUAAGAUUUUGUUUUCCAAAUCAGUUAGAUUGGUCCAUGAGCAACUGGACUAUUACAAUCCUGUAUAAAAACAGAGAUUUUGAAUUUAAAGCAGAAUGACUCAUGACAAGAAAUUUAUAAUUUGAAAUUUGCAAAAGAUAAAGCUCAGAGCUCUGAAGGACUUUCAUAGAGCAUGAGACUGGGAACUCAGCGAGAGACACAGAUCUCUGAGGAGGCAUAUCUUAUUUGCUAGGCUGCCCCUAAGUGUUGGACUCCCUUAGGGUUCUAUCUAAAUCCUCCUAUCUUCUUUAUCUAAAUUCUCUUUCUAGCAGAUAUCCCAGCAUGGUUUAGAAUAUCAUCAAUAUGCUAAAUAAUUUUCAAAGUUUUAUUUUCAUUAAUGGAUCUAUCAUGAAUUUUCAACUUGUAUUCCUCCUAAAUCCAUGCACUUGGCUGUCCAAUGGACAUAUCAAAGUUGAAAUAGGCAAAAGAGAACUAUCAGUGUCCCCCUGCCUACAGCUGUGCUCCUCCACCAAACCUUUCCAUUUCACCAAACAGAACCAUGUUUCACUAAAUCAACCAUGUUUGUUGCUCAGGCCAUAAUUCCAGAAUUCAUCCUGGAUUCCUCUCCUUCCUCCCAGACUCACAUUUAAUCCAGUAAGUACUUCUGGCUCUCUCUCCAAAAUAAGUGCUGAAUGUUAUGUCUUCUUACUCUCUGCUCUGCUAUAGUUUCAGUCCAAGCCACCAGCAUCUGUCCUUGUAGGCUGCAAAAGCUCUUACUAGGCUUCCCUGCCUCCACACUCCCCAGAGUAGCCUAUUAAAUAUAAAUUAUAUAAUACCCUCCCUUGCUAAAAAUUAUCUAAUAGAUGCAUUCUCCUAACCUUUAGAAUAAAAUCCAAGCUAUUCACCAUGUCCCAUAGGGCUCUGCUUCUCUGGGCUCAUUUUCCUCUACACACCCCAUUCCCAGAUAGGUUCCAGUCAUAAUGGCCUUCAUUCUGUUCCUUAAACUUGCUGAGCUUGUUUUUGUCCCUGUCUUUGCACUUACUGCUUUUCCUGCUGGCAGUGCUUUUUACCUGCAUAUCCCCUGCAUGGCUCCUUGUCAUUGUUCAAGUCUCAACUCAAAUGUCCCUUCUUUGGACAGGCCACCUGUGACCCAAGUUUGAGCAGUUUCCUUAAUCCAUCCCUAGUUCAGUUUUUAUUGCAUUUUUUACUUCAUAGAAAUGAUCAGAAUCUGAAAUGAUCAACUUAAUAGUUGAUGUAUUUUUUGUCUGUCUGUCCCCAGUGUGGACUCCCUGAGGUCACUGACAUUUUAUUAUUCACCUCUGCAUCUCAGUGCCUAGUAGAGAAGAUGGUGUAUAGGAAGCACUUAAAGAAUUUGUUGACUCAUUCACCACUUUGAGCCUAGCUUCCUUAUCUGUAAACCAAAGGUGUCAGGACAGGGGACCUCUGACCCUGCCCUACCUAGCCAGUUUUAAUUCUUAUCGUGUCUCUAAGCCCUCUGAUCCAGUCCAGUUGACCUCCUUAAGGUCCUAUAAAUGGACCAUGUUUAUUCAGAUCUUCAGGCCUUUGCUCAUUCUCUUCCCUCCUGAGUGUCCUUCUUUUUGGUCCUUGCUGGCUGCAUUUGUCAAUAAUUUUCCUUCUUCUCUUUUGACUCUACCCCUCAUAGAAGAGUAUAAUUGUUUUAUAUAUACAUGUCUUUCCUGUCCUAGUUGUUAGUCCUUAGGCAUAGGGCUAUGGUUUAUAGUCAUAACUCUUUUGAACCUCCUUGGUGAUAGCAUAUAGGAUAUACUCAGUACAUGCCUUAUAAUUCAAUAAGGGUGUGCUGUCUACCGAAAACACUGAUUUCAAAACAAUAAUCAUGCUUGGUCUGCUUACUAAUUUAUAUGGGAUAAAAAUAGAUUUUUUAAAAAAGCAACUAAACAGGUAUAUCUUUGUUAAGCCUGAGCUGGAGAAAAAAAAAUCUAAAAAUGGAAAUUUAAACUUCUGGUAUCAUGGUGUUUUGAAAACAUUUGUAAGCAACCUUACCAAAAGUUUUGUUAUAGAUUUUUAUUUCAUUUAAGUUUUUAUAUAUUCAUGAGUAGUUGAAAAAGGAAGUGAACAUUGUUUUUUAUUAACUCAGGUUAAAAACUUGAGUUUUUAAUUUGGUUCAGUUUGUUCAGGUAUUUGGAAUUUAGAGAAGCUCUGUGAAAAUAUCCCGCCUACACGUUUUGAAUAUCCUCUUCCUGCUUAUCUUCAGAACAGCUUGGUUCUUUUAAUAGCAAAUGGCUGAGUGGAGGGGAACCAUUUGCAGUGGGUCAAUUUAAGUAUGGUGUGUCCUCCCAUUUCAGACCGAAGUCAUGCUAACUGCUCAGGGAUUGGUGCAACUGUGUGUUUCUUUUGAUGUUGGUCAGAUCCCAGAAAACUCAGUAUUUUAGAAGGAUGUUGCUCAUUCCUUAGAUAAUUUGAAAAAUUAUUGGUCAACUUAAAAAAAUUCAGGAGCUAGGGAACACCUCAUCUAUUCUUUUUAUGAAUAUGUUAAUUUAUUAUUCUGUUGGAGGCUGUUCUUAAAAUUCCCAUGGGCCAGGAUAGGAAGAGGUAAUGGGGAGAAGGCUUGUUUUUUCAUGCAAUAUAUGAACCUAGCGCUAUAUGAUCAUGCCAGAUUCAGUAUACGCAAAUGGUGUAUUUCUCUCAAUCCAGAGUGGCUGGAAAAUGUGUGCUCAAAAUUGAGAAUAAUCAUAUAUUCCAUUCAUGGAUUAAUUGUUUUCAAAUAAUGUAGUCAAUUAUACUUACAAUGAUUUUUUAAGUUUUAAUAACAUAAAAGACACUUCGUAUAUGUAAGCCUGUGGUAAAUCAUGGUGUACCUCAUUUACUAGUCAAUAGUAUUGGUGUUCAAAAUAAUGGUGGUGAUUGGAUUAAUUCUCAGUCCAUCCCAGAAUUUGCUGUUUUGAAUAUACAGCUUGUUUUUAAGGUAUCCACUUCUUUUGGGAAAGUAGAGAUAAGAAAAAAGUCUGCUUCUUUAAAUGUCUUGUUUGGAUUGGGGGCACACAGCCAUUUUUUUUCUAGUGAGUAGAUAUAAAGGAUUUCCCAAAAGGUGGCUGUGGCUUCGCACAGGAGAGCUGGAGAGCUCUUGGUACAUAUACUGCUGAGUGUUGAAGGCAGGUGAGUCUGUUCUAUGUUUCUGUGCAGUGGGCUCUUGCUGGGGUCAAAGCUGUGUGGUGUCUGUAAAAAAGGGUUGCUGUGUAAUGCUUUAGAAUUGGAAUUGCAGAUUCUUCUUGUGAGGGGAAUAUUGCUGUUAUGGGUAAAAGUUGUGUCUUAUGGUUGCCCUUGUGACCUUGUUAGAUCCUUUGGAUAAUUAAAACUUCCAGAAGUUGGGAUUGUAGAUGCUGGGAAUGUAGAAAAACAAUAGUCAAAUCAGUCAAAAAGGUGCUAACCAUUGGGAUAAUACACUGAAAAGCAUCCAGUGGGAAAUUUAUGAAUUGUAAAAAACCCAAUACUGCAUGAAAUCAUAACUUCCUUUUAUGACCCUCAAUCGUGGCCAUUAAAGGGCUAACUUCUGUUACAGAAAAGAGGUAGCUAGUUAGUUCAUAUCUCUGGGUUUAGAUAAAUCACAGUAUCUCUCUUAGUUUUGGUUUGGCAGGAUGUCUUGGACCUUUUCCUUUGGUUUCCUUUGGUUGUUAGAUAAAGACAUGUGAGGAUGGACUCUGUGACUGCAUGGUUUUCUUCCGGGUGAGCUCACUGGCUUGCCACCGCCCAGAUUUAUCAGCAGCUGGAGUUUCACCUAAUAGUAUGGUUUGCUCCAACCAUUUGCUGGAGCAGAAAAAGAUGGCAUCAACUUAUAUUUUAAAAUAAACUGACUUUGAAAGGUUUUAUGAAAUCACGGUCCAUUUUGAUUAGUUUUUGCCAACAGCUGCCUGCAUUUAGGCUUUGUUCUUUGUUGGACAUAACUGUUUAGGAAAGAUUGCUGCUUUAUGGAAGCGAUUCCAAAGACUCAUUGUUCCAGACAUCGGACAUCCUUAUGUUAUUCAGGUCUGAUGAUAUUUGAUCUAACGCAGAUUAAUUACUAAGCUCUCAGUGAAUAAUUAACCAUUUGACCUGUUCCCAAGUUAUAUACUCACUGAGUUAGAAAUGAUUUCCCCAACUACUAAAGAUAAGGAAGGUUAUUCCUGGUUUCACAGUGUCCCCAUUGUUACUGACUUGUAUGUGUGAGAGACAUCAGCUGAUACCUACGCACUGGUCCAGCUACUCAGUCAAACCACUUCCUGGGGUUUUCUCGGGUAAUGGCAGUGAUUCAGAAGACACCACAGAACUUUCUGAGGACUGUUCCCUGUGUGUUACUCUGGGCUGAAUGACUGGGAACUGUCAAGUUCAAAAGGAACAUUUUUUGUUGUAGUGCUAUUAAAUUUGUGGUUUGCUUUUGCUCAAAGUUGCAUUUCAGCUGAAUUUAGGGUGGCUUGUCUGUGUGCCAUUUAUUUUAUAGUACCUAAUUUCCAUCAAUUAACCAUUUCAUGCCUUAGUUGAGUCCCUUAUAAAGUCCUGUAUUAAGCCUGGAGGGGAUAGGCAAACUAAGUCAUUAUAACUGCCUGCAGUGGCUAGUAGUAAUUAGGGAGAGGAGAGAUAAAAAUGGAUGGGGGCCAAAUAGGGUAUUAAUGCAAACAUUGUACUUUUCUACUUAUGUAUUUUUGUGAUUUUUUUUUUUUACUUCUG